This 138-nucleotide ribosomal RNA is filed under the name uncultured bacterium. RNAcentral's name for it is "partial 16S ribosomal RNA". It matches the Rfam family "Bacterial small subunit ribosomal RNA", at positions 355 to 509 of the family's 1533-position model. The record is from RNAcentral.
UGGGGAAUAUUGCACAAUGGGAGAAAGCCUGAUGCAGCGACGCCGCGUGAGCGAAGAAGUAUUUCGGUAUGUAAAGCUCUAUCAGCAGGGAAGAAAAAUGACGGUACCUGACUAAGAAGCCCCGGCUAACUACGUGCC